GCGGAUGUAGUUCAAUGGUAGAACACGAGCUUCCCAAGCUUGGGAUGGGGGUUCGAUUCCCCUCAUCCGCU
Molecule: transfer RNA, 71 nt
Filed under: Actinomycetota bacterium
Lineage: Bacteria; Bacillati; Actinomycetota
Description: tRNA-Gly
Rfam family: tRNA
About the family: Transfer RNA (tRNA) molecules are approximately 80 nucleotides in length. Their secondary structure includes four short double-helical elements and three loops (D, anti-codon, and T loops).
Source: RNAcentral